GCCUCUGCGUCUUCUUCUCUUCUCCCAAUCCAAUCCUCCUUGUAGAAUCUUCCACCGGCGUCCGGGUAAGAUGAACGGCCUCCUCGUGUCGCCGUGCACAAGGCCGCCCCUGCUCCGCCCCUUCCCAAGCCCGGCCACCCGUCUCCUACCCGCCAGAACCCUAGUUCUCCGGCCGCUCCGUCUCCCCCGUGGCGUCUGUGCGUCCCCUCCACCCCCGCGUGCCGCCGCCGCCGCCGCGUCUGCUGUGGGCGGGCUUCUGGCGCCGCUCGAGGUUGGCCUGCGUAGCAUCAACCUCGCGCCGCUGCGGCCGCCGGUUGCGGCGGCCAUGUCGGCGGCCGUGCGGUGGCUGGGGGUCUACCGGGAGGUUCUGCUUGUCGGGGUGCUCUUCUCCUGGUUUCCCAACAUCCCCUGGGACCGCCAACCCUUCUCCGCCCUGCGAGACCUCUGCGACCCUUUUCUCGCCCUCUGCCGCGAGGUCGUGCCGCCCGUCUUCGGCCGCAAGCUCGAUCUCAGCCCGCUCGUCGCCUUCAUGGCCAUAGACAUCCUCAUCAUGAUCCUUCGCCCACAGCCACGCAUGUGAUGAAGUCCAGGGUAGGAAUAUCAAGCUCAACUUCAAGCCCGAGCCUGGCCCGACAGCCCAAGCCUGAACUGAAGGAUAGUUGUUCGUAUGUUCAGUUCUACUAUGGGCCCUUUCGUCGUUGCUGGAUAUUACCAAGAAGCGGUGGUUGAGCGUUGAAGCUUGUAGCUUUAGCAAGGGUAGCACAAUUUGAGUUAUUUUGAGACGUUUUGUAGGCAAGUGUAGCUUCCUUGAUAAAACUUCUGCCACGGGUGGUACUCAGGGCUAUACAAGUAGAUAUGCGCUAGCUACAGUCUUUGUGAUUCUGCUCUGUUCCCAGAUGGAUUCGUCUAUGAUAUGGCAACCCGAAUCUGCAUGUAGCGAUUCAGAGAACUGAAUCGAAAGCCGAGUCAUUCCUUGACGGUUUGCCAGAGAAUCCAAAACUAGCUUAGGCAGGCUCAUGCAUGUGCAUGGUAUCUAACUUUUCUGCUUUCUUUUCCUUGCACCAUGAGGAUUUUAUCCCAUUUUCUGACUUGACUAAAUGUGUUUACCUCCACAGCCACAUGUUCUGGUUUGAGUGUUGAGAGAUACUCAUGA
Molecule: RNA transcript, 1153 nt
Organism: Triticum dicoccoides
Lineage: Eukaryota; Viridiplantae; Streptophyta; Magnoliopsida; Poales; Poaceae
Gene name: ylmG homolog protein 1-2, chloroplastic-like
Exons: 3
Source: RefSeq, a predicted model, not a curated record